Molecule: long non-coding RNA, 666 nt
Organism: Glycine soja
Lineage: Eukaryota; Viridiplantae; Streptophyta; Magnoliopsida; Fabales; Fabaceae
Exons: 2
Source: RefSeq, a predicted model, not a curated record
AAAAAAAAAAACAAAAAAAGAGAAAGAGAAUAGGCCUCUUUCCCUAAGCAUCAGAGAGAGGGAGAGAGAGACUGAGGCUAGUCCAACAUAAGCACUUGGUUUAAACAUGUUUCCUCAUCUCCUUGAUCAAUAAUUGCAUACACUUUCUCUUUCUCUCUCCCCCCCAUCAUUUCCUUCUGACAUACACUUCCAUGCUCUUCUAUAUAAUGUUUUGAGUAAUCAACAACUUGCCCUCAAACCUUAUUUUCAUUUUUCAGAUUGAUUACAUGAUGAGUUCUUCAAUCUUCCUUCUAUGCUGUCUUCUCAUAUUCUCUUUAUAUUCCCUCUCCCAACACACGGGCUACUCUCUAGAUGCUACUCCAACACGGAAGUUGAGCAUGCCAGCCCCUGUCCACGAUCACAAAACCCAGCAUAAAAUGCAGGGAGCAGACAAGGCAAUGGAAAGUACCCCAGCAAACGAAGAUUCCAUGACACCAGAUUAUACCAGCAACAGUUACAGUCCCCAUGAUCUUGUCUUUCAUAUAGAUUACCAUGGAGUAACAACUCAUCCAACUCCUAAACAUCCCAAACCAUAGGCUGCAACUUAAGUUUUGCAUCGCAAGAUAUUUAUCCAGAUAUGUAUUCUUGUUUUUAUCAAUAUAUAAAUGAAAUGCGUUGUGGGAGAAA